RNAcentral lists this long non-coding RNA (844 nucleotides) under Equus caballus (horse). RNAcentral describes it as "lncRNA (ENSECAG00000049630.1)". Lineage: Eukaryota; Metazoa; Chordata; Mammalia; Perissodactyla; Equidae. The record is from RNAcentral.
CCGGCAGUUUUCUGGACGCUCCGGCGCUGGCUCCACCUGGCGGCGGGAAGGCUGCGGCACGCCCAGCCCGCCCAAGUUCAGGCAGAGGACAACCUCACGUCCCUCCGUGGCUCCAGGAAGAGCACCGUGGAAGAACAAUUGUGGUCCUUGCUCAGUCGAAGAGUAACCCUGCGUGCUGACACCUGCCAUUGCACCUGGCUUUCACGGUCAGCCGGAAAGGGUGCUGGAGCAACGCCAUCCUGUGUCCUGUAUGCAAUUGUGUGGAAAACAGCUCUGCUCUGAGCGAAGCAGCAUCAAUAUCUACUACUUAGAAACAGAUGAGAGGGCGACUUGGCAGCUGCUCGACAAUCAGACAAAACCUCACUCCGUUGUGUUUCGUGCCUCUAGAUUUUUUUAAAAGGGCCAAGCUUUCCUUCUGCCUCCUGCAUCUCGUAAUUGUCAGUGAGUUCAGUGGUACCUUUCCACAACAUAACUGAUCAACUGCAGGCUCAUGGCUAAUAAACUGACACAAAAGAACUUAUGAAGACAUAACCUUUAAGUGUGUGAGAUAACAUGCAAUUCAACACGCAGCACAAAGAGCUCCGACGCCCAAGCGAGCCGCUGAGCUCGCAGUGGUUUCUCCAAGCGAAUCUGAGCAUAUGGUCCAUAAUGGAGCUUGAAUUUACAGCAACAGAGAUGUGCGAGGGAGAUUAAAGCUUCAUCUCCACUGCAGAAGCUCCUCUGGUUCUGUUUCAGACCCUGCCAUCAGUUUUGCUAGUUCUCUGGGUUCUGCCUUGUCCAAGGACGGCCAGCAGCUGACUCGUGUGGUGUCAAGGAGAUGCAUCACCCAGGCUUAUCAUGUCCU